This 466-nucleotide ribosomal RNA is filed under the name uncultured bacterium. Its description in RNAcentral is "bacterial SSU rRNA". It matches the Rfam family "Bacterial small subunit ribosomal RNA", at positions 331 to 794 of the family's 1533-position model. The record is from RNAcentral.
CCAGACUCCUACGGGAGGCAGCAGUGAGGAAUAUUGGUCAAUGGGCGAGAGCCUGAACCAGCCAAGUCGCGUGAGGGAAGACGGUCCUACGGAUUGUAAACCUCUUUUGUCAGGGAGCAAGGAGCGCCACGAGUGGUGCGGCGAGAGUACCUGAAGAAAAAGCGCCGGCUAACUCCGUGCCAGCAGCCGCGGUAAUACGGAGGGCGCGAGCGUUAAUCGGAAUUACUGGGCGUAAAGCGCGCGUAGGCUGUUGUGUAAGUUGGGGGUGAAAUCCCACGGCUCAACCGUGGAACAGCCCUUGAUACUGCGCGACUUGAAUCCGGGAGAGGGUGGCGGAAUUCCAGGUGUAGGAGUGAAAUCCGUAGAUAUCUGGAGGAACAUCAGUGGCGAAGGCGGCCACCUGGACCGGUAUUGACGCUGAGGCGCGAAAGCGUGGGGAGCAAACAGGAUUAGAUACCCUCGUAUC